This 253-nucleotide ribosomal RNA is filed under the name uncultured bacterium. RNAcentral's name for it is "partial 16S ribosomal RNA". It matches the Rfam family "Bacterial small subunit ribosomal RNA", at positions 524 to 776 of the family's 1533-position model. The record is from RNAcentral.
GACAGAGGAGGCAAGCGUUGUUCGGAAUCAUUGGGCUUAAAGGGCGUGUAGGCGGCAACGCAAGUGUCGAGUGAAAUCCCAUCGCUCAACGAUGGAACGGCUCGGCAAACUGCGUGGCUUGAGGUCGGUAGAGGUGCUCGGAACUCUAGGUGGAGCGGUGAAAUGCGUAGAUAUCUAGAGGAACGCCUGAGGCGAAAGCGGGGCACUGGGCCGAUUCUGACGCUGAGACGCGAAAGCGUGGGGAGCAAACAGG